This 536-nucleotide ribosomal RNA is filed under the name uncultured bacterium. RNAcentral describes it as "partial 16S ribosomal RNA". It matches the Rfam family "Bacterial small subunit ribosomal RNA", at positions 355 to 901 of the family's 1533-position model. The record is from RNAcentral.
UGGGGAAUAUUGCACAAUGGGCGCAAGCCUGAUGCAGCAACGCCGCGUGAGGGAUGACGGCCUUCGGGUUGUAAACCUCUUUUAGCAGGGAAGAAGCGAAAGUGACGGUACCUGCAGAAAAAGCACCGGCUAACUACGUGCCAGCAGCCGCGGUAAUACGUAGGGUGCAAGCGUUGUCCGGAAUUAUUGGGCGUAAAGAGCUCGUAGGCGGUCUGUCGCGUCUGCUGUGAAAUCCCGAGGCUCAACCUCGGGCCUGCAGUGGGUACGGGCAGACUAGAGUGCGGUAGGGGAGAAUGGAACUCCUGGUGUAGCGGUGGAAUGCGCAGAUAUCAGGAAGAACACCGAUGGCGAAGGCAGUCCUCUGGGCCGUAACUGACGCUGAGGAGCGAAAGCGUGGGGAGCGAACAGGAUUAGAUACCCUGGUAGUCCACGCCGUAAACGUUGGGCGCUAGAUGUGGGGACCAUUCCACGGUUUCCGUGUCGCAGCUAACGCAUUAAGCGCCCCGCCUGGGGAGUACGGCCGCAAGGCUAAAACU